RNAcentral lists this ribosomal RNA (643 nucleotides) under uncultured Actinomycetes bacterium. RNAcentral's name for it is "bacterial SSU rRNA". It matches the Rfam family "Bacterial small subunit ribosomal RNA", at positions 232 to 885 of the family's 1533-position model. The record is from RNAcentral. Lineage: Bacteria; Bacillati; Actinomycetota; Actinomycetes.
CGCGGCCUAUCAGCUUGUUGGUGGGGUGAUGGCCUACCAAGGCGACGACGGGUAGCCGGCCUGAGAGGGCGACCGGCCACACUGGGACUGAGACACGGCCCAGACUCCUACGGGAGGCAGCAGUGGGGAAUAUUGCACAAUGGGCGAAAGCCUGAUGCAGCGACGCCGCGUGAGGGAUGACGGCCUUCGGGUUGUAAACCUCUUUCAGCAGGGAAGAAGCGAAAGUGACGGUACCUGCAGAAGAAGCGCCGGCUAACUACGUGCCAGCAGCCGCGGUAAUACGUAGGGCGCAAGCGUUGUCCGGAAUUAUUGGGCGUAAAGAGCUCGUAGGCGGCUUGUCACGUCGGAUGUGAAAGCCCGGGGCUUAACCCCGGGUCUGCAUUCGAUACGGGCAGGCUAGAGUGUGGUAGGGGAGAUCGGAAUUCCUGGUGUAGCGGUGAAAUGCGCAGAUAUCAGGAGGAACACCGGUGGCGAAGGCGGAUCUCUGGGCCAUUACUGACGCUGAGGAGCGAAAGCGUGGGGAGCGAACAGGAUUAGAUACCCUGGUAGUCCACGCCGUAAACGUUGGGAACUAGGUGUUGGCGACAUUCCACGUCGUCGGUGCCCCAGCUAACGCAUUAAGCUCCCCGCCUGGGGAGUACGG